AGUAGGGUCAGCUAAACAAGCUAUCGGGCCCAUACCCCGAAAAUGCCGGAACCGGCCCCUACUA
This 64-nucleotide transfer RNA is filed under the name Thermophis baileyi. Its description in RNAcentral is "tRNA-Met". The record is from RNAcentral. Lineage: Eukaryota; Metazoa; Chordata; Lepidosauria; Squamata; Dipsadidae.